AUGGCCAUGGAGAAGAACCAAGAUUCCAAAGUGAUCAUGGGCCGGUACAAGCUGGGCCGUCUUCUAGGCCGUGGCAGCUUUGCCAAGGUUUACAAGGCCCAUAACAUCUCCACCGGCGAGUUCGUGGCCAUCAAGGUGUUCGACAAGGAGGCCGUGCACCGGUCCGGCACGGUGGAGCAGGUGAAGCGCGAGGUGGACGUGAUGCGGCGGGUGCACCACCCAAACGUCGUCCGCCUCCACGAGGUGAUGGCCACGCGCUCCAGGAUCUACUUUGUCAUGGAAUACGCGAGCGGCGGCGAGCUCUUUGAUCGCCUCGCCAAGAGCACGCGCUUCCCGGAGCCCGUCGCUCGCCGCUACUUUCAGCAGCUGGUCACGGCCGUGGAGUUCUGCCACAGCCGUGGCGUCUACCACCGUGACCUCAAGCCCGAGAACCUCCUCCUCGACGCGCACGGCAACCUUAAGGUCUCCGACUUCGGGCUCAGCGCGCUCGCGGACGGCGCCUCCCGCCAUCGCGGUGACGCCCUCUUGCACACGACGUGCGGCACGCCGGCGUACGUCGCUCCCGAGGUGAUCCUGAAGCGUGGCUAUGACGGCGCAAAGGCGGACAUCUGGUCGUGCGGCGUGAUCCUCUUCGUGCUCCUGGCAGGCCGCCUCCCUUUCCACGACACCAACCUCGUGCUCCUGUACAAGAGGAUCGCACGGAGCGACUACCAGUGCCCCGCAUGGUUCUCCAUCGACGCACGCAAGCUCCUUGCCCGGCUGCUCGACCCGAACCCCAAUACCCGGAUCACCAUCACCAACCUCAUGGCCCGGACCUGGUUCCAGAAAGACUCCUGCCCCCUCAACGACAAGCCCCUCGACACGAGCGAAACGGCGGUGUUCCUCGGCAAGGAAGCCGGGGGACAUCACGACGACGACCAACCGGAGGGCGCCACCCGGAAGAGGAAGAGAUCCAAGGUGACCGCGUCGUCGCCAACCAUCAGCGUGAGGCCAUCGAGCAUGAACGCCUUCGACAUCAUCUCGCGGUCGAGCGUGCUGGACCUGGCCAAGAUGUUCGACGCGGAGCACAAGACGUCGGAGGCCCGGUUCUCCAGCAAGGAGACCACGACGGCGAUCGUGUCCAAGCUGGGGAAGAUCGCGGAGGCGGGGAGGUUCAGCUUUAAGCUCAACAAGGAGAAGGGGAGAGUGGAGCUGGAGGGGAGCCAGGACGGCCGGAAAAGGGCGCUGGCCCUGGAGGCGGAGAUCUUCGAGGUGGCGCCGUCGGUGCACGUGGUGGAGAUGAGGAAGACGGGCGGCGACUCGCUGGAGUUCCAGGACUUCUACAAGCAGGAGCUCAAGCCGUCGCUGGGCGAUAUCGUGUGGGCGUGGCAGGGAGGUGACUCGCCGCCACCAACGCUCACGCCGGCGGUGCCUAGGUCAAACACGAAUUCCUGA
Molecule: ribosomal RNA, 1434 nt
Filed under: Triticum aestivum (bread wheat)
Lineage: Eukaryota; Viridiplantae; Streptophyta; Magnoliopsida; Poales; Poaceae
Description: partial small subunit ribosomal RNA
Source: RNAcentral